This 312-nucleotide ribosomal RNA is filed under the name Triticum aestivum (bread wheat). RNAcentral's name for it is "partial small subunit ribosomal RNA". Lineage: Eukaryota; Viridiplantae; Streptophyta; Magnoliopsida; Poales; Poaceae. The record is from RNAcentral.
AUGAGAUGUGAGCAGCAAUAUGACAGAGCAUUCUAUGUUAUCAAGAGGUUCAUGGAAGAGCUUGAUGUAAUACAUUCAACAAACCAAGCGGAUGCUGGCGAAAGGAUGGAUGAAGAGGAUGCUGAAAUUGAAGAUGACCUUCAUUAUUAUGAAGCUAAAAUGCUCCAGACCGCUGCUCAAGCCAACCAAUGCAAGCAUGAUGUUGACCAAUUAAUGCAGCAACAGCAGCAGCAAAAAGAGAUAAUAAAAUUGCCGUUGUACUCUGAAACAAAUGGUAGGAAGAAACUUUUUGCAGCAAAGAAAAGAGACUAG